AUUUUUAUUUAUAUAAAUUUAUUUAUUUUUUUAUUUUAUUAAAAGUAAUUUUAUUGUUAUAGUAGAUUUUAUAGAAAAAAUUUUUUAAAAAACACUGAAAAGGUAAAAUUAAAUUUAAUUAAUUAAGUAAAAUAUUAUUUUGUACCUUUUGUAUCAGGGUAAAUUAAUUAUUUAUAUAUAUUUAUAUAUCCCGAAUUAUAAUGAUUUAUAAUAAAUUGUAGUUUAUUGUUGUAUAAAUAUUUAAAAAUUUAUUUUAGUAAUGAAAUUUUAUCGAAUUAUAUGAUAUCUGGUUUUUUUAAAAAAUGAAUUUAAUUCAGGAAAAUUAAAUGAUUUUUAUUUUAAUUAACUUUCAUUAUUUUAUCUUAUUAUAUUAGGGAUUAGCCAAAUAUAAUAACUAUAUAUAUAUAUAUAUAUAAUAGAUUAUAUAAGCUUAAAAACAGCUAAUUUAGAAUUAGUUAAAUUUCAGUCUUUUUAUUAUUUUAUAUAAUAUUUAUUAGAUUUAUAUUAAAAAAUUUUCAUUUAAUUUUUUUUAAUAAUUAGUAUGAUUUAAUUAGUAUAAUUAAUAAAAUUUUAUUUAUGAAUUAAGCAAAAAAAAUUAAUUUUCACCUGUUUAUCAAAAACAUGUCUUUUAGAAAAAAAUUAAAAGUCUAAUCUGCCCAGUGAUUAAUAAAUGGCCGCAGUAAUCUGACUGUGCAAAGGUAGCAUAAUAAUUAGUCUUUUAAUUGAAGGCUUGUAUGAAUGAUUGGAUGAAAAAUUUUCUUUAUUAAUAUAAUAAUUAUAACUUAAUUUUUAAGUUAAAAAGCUUAAAUAAUUAAGUUGGACGAGAAGACCCUAUAGAGUUUCAAAUUAUUUUUAUAUAUUUUAUAUUAGAAUUAAUAAUAUAAAUAUAUAAAAAUAUUUUUUUGUUGGGGUGAUAUUAUAAAUAAAAUAACUUUUAAUAUAAAAAACAUUUAUUUAUGUAAAUAAAAUUAUUUUGAUCCAAUAUUAAAUAUUGAUUAUAAGAAUAAAUUACCUUAGGGAUAACAGCGUAAUUAUUUUUUAGAGUUCAUAUUAAUAAAAUAGUUUGCGACCUCGAUGUUGGAUUAAGAAAAUAUUUUGGAGCAAAAUCUAAUUUUUUAGGUCUGUUCGACCUUUUAAUUCUUACAUGAUCUGAGUUCAAACCGGCGUGAGCCAGGUUGGUUUCUAUCCACUUAUUUUUUUAUUGAUAUUAGUACGAAAGGACCAUAUUAAUUAAUAUUAAUUAU
This 1244-nucleotide ribosomal RNA is filed under the name Yezoterpnosia vacua. RNAcentral describes it as "16S ribosomal RNA". The stretch from base 1019 to 1177 matches the Rfam family "Archaeal large subunit ribosomal RNA", at positions 2544 to 2703 of the family's 2987-position model. Lineage: Eukaryota; Metazoa; Arthropoda; Insecta; Hemiptera; Cicadidae. The record is from RNAcentral.